AGCCACUGUUAUGGGGGUCCGACUAAGCCAUGCGAGUCACGGGGUCCCUUCGGGGACACCGGCGGACGGCUCAGUAACACGUCGGUAACCUACCCUCGGGAGGGGGAUAACCCCGGGAAACUGGGGCUAAUCCCCCAUAGGCCUGAGGUACUGGAAGGUCCUCAGGCCGAAAGGGUCUCUGACCGCCUGAGGAUGGGCCGGCGGCCGAUUAGGUAGUAGGUGGUGUAACGGACCACCUAGCCUACGAUCGGUAGGGGCCGUGAGAGCGGUAGCCCCGAGAUGGGCCCUGAGACAAUGGCCCAGGCCCUAUGGGGUGCAGCAGGCGCGAAAACUGCGCACUGUGCGAAAGCACGACGCGGCCACACCGAGUGCCUCCAACUAGGAGGCUGUGCCCGUGUCUAGAAAGCACGGGGUAGCAAGGAGAGGGCAAGACUGGUGCCAGCCGCCGCGGUAACACCAGCUCUUCGAGUGGUGGGCGCUUUUGCUGGGCCUAAAGCGUCCGUAGGCGGGCAUAGCAGCUGCGGGUCAAAUCUCACGUCUUAAGCGUGAGCCUGCCCGUAGUACGCUAUGCCUUGGGACCGGGAGAGGGAUACCGUACGCCCUGGGUAGGGGUGAAAUCCACUGAUCCAGGGUGGACGACCGGUGGCGAAGGCGGUAUCCUGGAACGGGUCCGACGGUGAGGGACGAAGGCCAGGGGAGCAAACCGGAUUAGAUACCCGGGUAGUCCUGGCUGUAAAGGAUGCGGGCUAGGUGUCGGGCGAGCUUCGAGCUCGCCCGGUGCCGAAGGGAAGCCGUUAAGCCCGCCGCCUGGGGAGUACGGCCGCAAGGCUGAAACUUAAAGGAAUUGGCGGGAGAGCACUGCAACGGGAGGAGCGUGCGGUUU
Molecule: ribosomal RNA, 883 nt
Filed under: uncultured archaeon pPACMA-N
Lineage: Archaea
Description: bacterial SSU rRNA
Rfam family: Archaeal small subunit ribosomal RNA
Source: RNAcentral